GACGAACGCUGGCGGCGUGCCUAAUACAUGCAAGUAGAACGCUGAAGGAGGAGCUUGCUUCUCUGGAUGAGUUGCGAACGGGUGAGUAACGCGUAGGUAACCUGCCUGGUAGCGGGGGAUAACUAUUGGAAACGAUAGCUAAUACCGCAUAAUAGUAGAUGUUGCAUGACAUUUGCUUAAAAGGUGCAAUUGCAUCACUACCAGAUGGACCUGCGUUGUAUUAGCUAGUUGGUGGGGUAACGGCUCACCAAGGCGACGAUACAUAGCCGACCUGAGAGGGGGAUCGGCCACACUGGGACUGAGACACGGCCCAGACUCCUACGGGAGGCAGCAGUAGGGAAUCUUCGGCAAUGGACGGAAGUCUGACCGAGCAACGCCGCGUGAGUGAAGAAGGGUUUCGGAUCGUAAAGCUCUGUUGUAAGAGAAGAACGAGUGUGAGAGUGGAAAGUUCACACUGUGACGGUAGCUUACCAGAAAGGGACGGCUAACUACGUG
This 495-nucleotide ribosomal RNA is filed under the name uncultured bacterium. Its description in RNAcentral is "partial 16S ribosomal RNA". It matches the Rfam family "Bacterial small subunit ribosomal RNA", at positions 28 to 507 of the family's 1533-position model. The record is from RNAcentral.